This 450-nucleotide ribosomal RNA is filed under the name Triticum aestivum (bread wheat). RNAcentral describes it as "partial small subunit ribosomal RNA". The record is from RNAcentral. Lineage: Eukaryota; Viridiplantae; Streptophyta; Magnoliopsida; Poales; Poaceae.
AUGGGAGAAAUUGACAAGGGGAUGCCUCAAAUUGGCAUGAGGUUUAGAAAUCCGGAUGAAGCUUGGCUGUUUUGGGUUGCAUAUGGGGGUCGCGUUGGGUUUGAUCUGAGGAAGAGAAACAAACAUGUAAGCAAGAUGGAUGGUCAAGUGACUUCAUGCACACUUGUUUAUUCGAAUGAGGGUAUACGAAAGAAAAUCAUAACAAUGGAUCACGAGUUAAAUCGUGUUAGAGCUGAAACAAGAACAAACUGCAAAGCUCGCAUGACUAUAUCACUUGAUCGAGUGGCAAAAAAAUUUGGGCAGAUGCUAAAAUGCUUCUUGACUAUGCACACUUUGGCGAUGUUGUCACAUUUGAUACAUCUUUUGGCACAAACAAAGAAUAUAGGCCAUUUGGUGUUUUUCUUGGACUCAAUCAGUUUAGAGAAACCACCAUUUUUGGUGCGGCAUUGA